Pelobates cultripes (western spadefoot toad) is the source of this 635-nucleotide non-coding RNA. The record is from the annotation of a GenBank genome assembly. Lineage: Eukaryota; Metazoa; Chordata; Amphibia; Anura; Pelobatidae.
GUAUUUUUCUGCCCAAUGCAGCCGUUUCUGCUUGUGAGCAUUGGUUAGUGGUGGCCGAAUAGAAGGUUUAUGCACAGUUGUAAGACUCUGGAGGACUCUACACCUUGAUGUCUGUGGGACUCCAGAGGCACCAGCAGCUUCAAAUAUCUGUUUGCUGCUAUGUAAUGGUAUUAAACAAAAUAUUUAAUCUUUGUGACACUUAAAUAGAAUUUGCAUAAUAAUUUCGAACAGGGUGUAUAUGCCUGUCUGUCUAUGUAUUUAUUUAUGUAUCCAUAUAUUCGAGUUGUGUACAAAGAAAAACUUCAGUUCAUUUAAAUCGACUCAUCUGGAAAUUAAAAGGUUUUGGUUCAGACAGAUCAAAUUUCAUUAUACGACGACAUGCGGAAUUUGGUGCAUCGCCAAUCACCCAUAGUUCAGAUGAAUUGAGAUCCAUUGGAAUUGGAUCAGACGUUUGAGGGCAUCAUAUUUCGGAAGAAAUCCAGUGAGGGUUUAAACAUACAAGAGAAAUUAACGAGCCAAUUCUGGGAGCCUCUCUGUAUCUAUUUGAAACAUUACAUUACUGUUAAAAAAGAAUUAUGAAAUAUCUGGAACUUAUAAAAUUUGGAAUGGGCACAAAUGCAGCAUUUGGAUCCCCA